RNAcentral lists this microRNA precursor (87 nucleotides) under Erinaceus europaeus (western European hedgehog). RNAcentral's name for it is "miRNA (ENSEEUG00000019431.1)". Lineage: Eukaryota; Metazoa; Chordata; Mammalia; Eulipotyphla; Erinaceidae. The record is from RNAcentral.
UUCGUGUGUGUGUGUGUGUGUGUGUGUGUGUGUGUGUGUGUGCGCGCGCGCGUGCGCGCGCGCAUGCGCACACACACGUGCACACAC